Molecule: long non-coding RNA, 221 nt
Organism: Carassius auratus (goldfish)
Lineage: Eukaryota; Metazoa; Chordata; Actinopteri; Cypriniformes; Cyprinidae
Exons: 3
Source: RefSeq, a predicted model, not a curated record
AGAUCAGACUCACAUGUGUCUGUGAAGAGUGACCGGUCAAAGGAUGAUAACAUGCCGAACUUCAGUGAGAAAAAACAUCUAUCAAAAGUCUGGAGCUUCUUUCCAGUAACACAAUCACACAAGCAGACACAAGGAGUGUAAGAUCAGACUCACAUGUGUCCAGCUCUGUGUCUGUGAAGAGUGACCAGUCAAAGGGUAGAGUACCAAACUUCAGUGAAGAA